This 430-nucleotide ribosomal RNA is filed under the name uncultured Nodularia sp. RNAcentral's name for it is "partial 16S ribosomal RNA". It matches the Rfam family "Bacterial small subunit ribosomal RNA", at positions 354 to 799 of the family's 1533-position model. The record is from RNAcentral. Lineage: Bacteria; Bacillati; Cyanobacteriota; Cyanophyceae; Nostocales; Nodulariaceae.
UUGGGGAAUUUUCCGCAAUGGGCGAAAGCCUGACGGAGCAAUACCGCGUGAGGGAGGAAGGCUCUUGGGUUGUAAACCUUCUUUUUCUCGGGGAAAAAAAAAUUGACGGUCCUUGAGGAUUAAGCUUCGGUUAAUUCCGGGCCAGCAGCCGCGGUAUUACGGAGAAUGCAAGCGUUAUCCGAAAUGAUUGGGCGUAAAGGGCCCGCAGGGGGCUAUGUAAGCCGCUUGUUAAAAAACCUACCUAACUAAGUUAAAACCAGGGAAACCUACAGGGUUAAAGUGCUUCCGGGUAAAAGGAAUUUCCUGGGGUACGGGUGAAUGGCUAAAAUAUCAGAAAAAACACCGGGGAAAAGGGGCUCUAUUAGGCCGCACUUGACCCUGAGGAACAAAAGCUAGGGAAGCGAUUGGAAUUAAAUACCCCAUUACCAAA